RNAcentral lists this ribosomal RNA (254 nucleotides) under uncultured bacterium. RNAcentral describes it as "partial 16S ribosomal RNA". It matches the Rfam family "Bacterial small subunit ribosomal RNA", at positions 524 to 776 of the family's 1533-position model. The record is from RNAcentral.
GACAGAGGGUGCAAACGUUGUUCGGAAUUACUGGGCGUAAAGCGCGUGUAGGCGGCCAUCUAAGUCGGGCGUGAAAUCCCACGGCUCAACCGUGGAAGUGCACUCGAAACUGGAUGGCUAGAGUCCUGGAGAGGAAGGUAGAAUGCUUGGUGUAGAGGUGAAAUUCGUAGAUAUCAAGCGGAACACCGGUGGCGAAGGCGGCCUUCUGGACAGUGACGUGACGCUGAGACGCGAAAGCGUGGGGAGCAAACAGG